Molecule: non-coding RNA, 3901 nt
Organism: Sus scrofa (pig)
Lineage: Eukaryota; Metazoa; Chordata; Mammalia; Artiodactyla; Suidae
Source: RefSeq, a predicted model, not a curated record
GUGGGUGGGAUGACGCUCCUAAACAGUAGGAUACGUAGCUAAUCGCUCUGGUUUUGCUCUGGCUACUCACCCGGCCUAGAUGGUGUUUUGACUCUGCUGCAGACUCUGUUACGCUGUGACGUGCCACUGGUCGUGGGAGUCGUCGGGAGGCUUCAGGGAGACCCAUUAAGUCUAGAAAUGGACUCUGUAGCCAUUGAAGAUGUGGUUGUGAAUUUCAACCUGGAGGAGUGGGCUUUACUGAAUCCUUCACAGAAGAAACUCUAUAAAGAUGUGAUGUGGGAAACCUUCAGAAACCUGGCCUCAAUAGGGAAAAAAUGGGAGGAUCACGACAUUGAAGAUGAGUACAAAAACCAGGGGAGAAAACUAAGAAGUCUUGUGUUAGAGAGACUCUGUGAAAGUAAAGAAGGUAGUCAGUGUGCAAAAAACUUGAGCCUUAUUCCAAAACUCAGACUAAAGAAGAAAAUUACUGGAGUGAAACCAUAUGAAUGCAGUGCAUGUGGAAAAACCUUUAUGCAUCAUUCAUCCCUUAAAAGGCACAUCAGCCAUCACAGUGGGCACAAACUAUAUGAGUAUCAGAAAUAUGAAGAGAAGCCAUAUAAAUGUAAGGAAUGUGGCAAAGCCUUCAGUUAUCUUCAGUGUUUUGAAAAACAUGAAAGAAAACACAAUGGACAGGAAAACUAUAAAUGUAAGGAAUGUGGGAAAGCUUUUCGUUUUCGCACAUCCUUUCAAACACAUAAAAGAGUUCAUACAGGAGAAAAGCCCUAUGAAUGUAAGGAAUGUGGGAAAUCCUUCAUGUGGCUCACAACCUUUCAAAGACACAUGAUAACACACACUGGAGAUACACCCUAUAAAUGUAAGGAAUGUGGGAAACCCUUUAAGUGGCUCACAACCUUUCGAAGACACAUAAUAAUGCACACUGGAGAUGCUCCAUAUAAAUGUAAAGAAUGUGGGAAAGUCUUUAGUUUUUUAAGUGCACUACAAAUACAUGAAAAAACCCACAUGGGAGAGAAACCCUAUCAAUGUAAACAAUGUGGAAAAGCCUUUAGAUAUCGUCGAACUUUUCAAACACAUGAAAGGACUCACACAGGAGAGAAACCCUAUGAAUGUAAGCAGUGUGGUAAAGCUUUUAUUUCUCGUGUAGGAUUACAGAACCAUGAAAGAAAUCACAGUGGAGUGAAAUUCUAUAAAUGUAAAAAAUGUAGUAAAGCAUUCAGUUAUUCCAGUUCUCUUCGAAAACAUGAAAGAAAUCAUAAUGGAGAGAAACCCUAUGAGUGUAAGGAAUGUGGGAAAGGCUUUAUUUUUCUCUCAAGCCUUCGAGCACACAUGAUAAGUCACUCUGGAGAUGGACCUUAUAAAUGUAAGGAAUGUGACAAAGCAUUCAAUACUCCCAGUUCAUUUCAAAUACAUGUAAGGACUCACACUGGAGAGAAGCCUUAUAAAUGUAAACAAUGUGGGAAAACUUUCAAUUGGCCCACUUCCAUUCGCAGACAUGAAAGAAGUCAUAGUGGGGAAAAACCCUAUGAGUGUAAGCAAUGUGGAAAAGCCUUUAGUUGUCCCAGAUCCUUUCAAAGCCAUGAAAGGAGACACAGUGGAGAAAAGCCCUAUGACUGUAAGAAAUGUGGUAAAGCCUUCAGUUGUCCAAAUUCAUGUCGAAAACACGAAAGAAGUCAUAGUGGAGAGAAGCCCUAUGAAUGUAAGGAAUGUGGGAAAGCCUUCAGUUCCCUCACCAAAUUUCAAAGGCAUGUGAUGAAGCACACUGGAGAUGGACCUUAUAAAUGUAAGGAGUGUGGGAAAAUCUUUGAUUGUCCCAAUUACUUUCGAAGUCAUGAAAGGACUCACAGUGUAGAAAAGCCCUAUGAAUGUAAGAAAUGUUAUAAAGCCUUCAGUACUCCCAGGUCCCUUCGAAGACAUGAAAGAACUCAUACUGGAGAGAAACCUCAUGCAUGUAAGGAAUGUGGUAAAGCCUUCAGUUAUCCCAGUUUCCUUCAGAAACAUGAAAGAAGUCAUACUGGGGAAAAACCCUAUCAGUGUAAGCAAUGUGGUAAAGCUGUCAGUUAUCUCAGUUCCCUUCGAAGUCAUGAAAGAACUCAUAGUGGAGAAAAACCCUAUGAAUGUAAGGAAUGUGGGAAAGCCUUUAUUUUUCUCUCAAAAUUUCGAAUACACAUGAUAAAGCACACUGGAGUUGGACCUUAUACAUGUAAGAAAUGUGGAAAAGCCUUUGAUUGUCCUAGUUCAUUACAAAACCAUGAAAGAACUCAUACCGGAGAGAAACCAUAUGAAUGUAAAAAUUGCAAUAAAGCUUUCAGUCGUCUUCAUUCUUUACGAAACCAUGAAAGAACUCAUGUUGGAAAGUAGCACUAUGAAUGUAAGACAGCGGUAAAUUCUUCAGUUCUAUCACCAAAUUUUGAAAUUAUGUGGUGAAGCACACUGGAUAUGGACCUUAUAAAUAUAAGGAAUUGGGAAAACCUUUGAUUUUUCCAGUUUAUUAUGAAAUUGUGAAAAAAACUUACACUGGAGAGAAACCAUGUGAAUGUAAAAAUUAUAGGAGAGACUUCCAUUGCCCAAAGCAUGCAAACACUCAGAAAGUAGGCCUAUGAUUGUAAGGAAUGUAGAAACUUCAGCUAUCCCAGUUCGGUCAUUCUUUUUCCUUUUUUUUUUUUUUUUUUUUUUUGCCAUGCUUGCCAAAGUUCCCAGGCCAGGGAUCAAACCUGUACCGCAGCAGUGACAAUGCUGGAUCCUUAACCUGCUGUGCCACCAGAGAACUCUCAUCCCACUUUAUUCUGAAAACAAACAAACAAAAAAAGAAUUUACACUGGAGAGAAACACUAUGAAUGCAAACAAUAUGGUAAAGCCUUAAUCACUUCCUGUUAUGUUCAAAUACAUGAAAGAACUCAUACCAGAAACAAUGUAAGGAAUAUUGUAAAGCUGGUAUCACACAACAUUUCAAAGACACAAGAUGAUGCAUACCAUGUAAAUGUGAGGGAUUGGGGAAAAUCUUCAAUCACCUUUUUUCUUGAAAAAGAACUUAAUCUAGAGAGAAUUUUGUUAAGUAUAAAAAAAUGAAAAUCUUCAUUUACCCUAUAUCUUUAUAUAUGAGAAUGUACACUGGACAAAUACCAUACAACUGAAAUGUAAAACUAUUCAAUUUAAAAAUAUUUUCAUAGUCAUGUGAAAACUGCACUGGAGAAAAACUCACAUUAAUAUAAGUAAUAUGGGUAAGCCUGGUGCAAAUUAAUUUAUGUAGAAUACUGAAAAGAUACAAAAUGGAAGAAAUGUUAUAAACCUUAAACAUGUAUUAUCUUUAUAAGUGACAUACUGUGUAGCAUGGAGUUUACUUAUUUUUGCAAGUAAUAAUGAGGUAAGAAAAAUAAUUCUGUAGGUACUCUUUAGGCAGUUGUUUCUAAGUUUAGUAAGUAAUUGUAGCUUUUGCUCAGUUAAAUUUUAUGUUUUUAUUUUGAGGACUCUUGGAUCCAUGGGUAAAUUGAAGUAUAUUUCUAACAUGUGAGUUUAAUUUUUAUAUAAUUUUGUGGGUUUUUUUUUUUUUUUUUUUUUGUAAAUAAGGGAACACUGAAAAAUAACACUUUGGUAUUUGCUUGUUUAUCAUACUGGCCUCCUGUGGCAAGUUCUUGACAUCCUUUGUGCAUUAUAUACAUAUUCCACCUUUCUUAAGAGAAUAUUAACUCUUCAUUGUCCUGAAGAUCUUUACUCCAUUUCCUUGCUAACAAAAAGUUGGCAUGUAUUUGUUAGUAGGCCAAGUUCAUCAUAUAGUCUCAUGUGAAUAAUUAUUUUCAUCUUUUGUCCUUUGUUCUUUGCCAUUCUUUCUGGCAGGGAUUUGGGCUGUGGAAUUUGCAUUAAGAGAGACCUGUAAGAGGACAAUAAAAUCUAGAGGAGAUGACCCUUU